RNAcentral lists this transfer RNA (62 nucleotides) under Heterosigma akashiwo. The record is from RNAcentral. Lineage: Eukaryota; Raphidophyceae; Chattonellales; Chattonellaceae.
UUAGUGUGAUGGGUACAGCGUCAACUUUUGGAGCAAGCAAUCCCGGGUUCGAUCCCUGCUGG